UACAUGUGGGGCAAGCGUUGUUCGGAAUUACUGGGCAUAAAGGGUGCGUAGGCGGCAUGCCAAGUCAGGGGUGAAAGGUUUCGGCCCAACCGGGACAGUGCCAUUGAUACUGGCGUGCUUGAGUGCGUGAGGGGUGACUGGAACGAGUGGUGUAGCGGUGAAAUGCGUAGAUAUCACUCGGAAGGCCAACGGCGAAGGCAGGUCACUGGUACGCAACUGACGCUGAGGCACGAAAGCGUGGGGAGCAAACAGG
This 253-nucleotide ribosomal RNA is filed under the name uncultured bacterium. RNAcentral describes it as "partial 16S ribosomal RNA". It matches the Rfam family "Bacterial small subunit ribosomal RNA", at positions 524 to 776 of the family's 1533-position model. The record is from RNAcentral.